Long non-coding RNA from Acipenser ruthenus (sterlet), 560 nucleotides. RefSeq lists it as uncharacterized. The transcript has 3 exons. The record is from RefSeq and is a predicted model, not a curated record. NCBI's taxonomy places the organism in Eukaryota, Metazoa, Chordata, Actinopteri, Acipenseriformes, Acipenseridae.
GCAGCGCCUGCUGCAACGUGAACGUGCGGUCUGCUGCAAACGGGAGCGAGUUUAUUGCUUCUGGACGGAAAAUGUUUGUGCAAGCUUGUGAUUUCAGCGAUUCUACAUCCAGAACAAAUUGUUUAAACACAGUCACAACAACAACAACUAUAUAUUGUGUUUGUUCAAAUGUGUAUAAAUGAGCUAGUUACUUACUCUUAUUAGGACGGAAGUAUUGUAUGUACUCUUACUAUAUUGUGAUUAUCGAACUGUGUACAUGGACAUAUUUUAGUAAACGUUGCUCUGAAGUUAUUGUAUAUUUUAUCUGCUCUUACUGCAUUGUGAAAUAUGUAUAUUUUGUGAGAGCUGUAAGUCGCCCUGAGUGAGGGCGUCUGCUAAGAAAAUGAAUAAGAAAAAGAGGAAGAAAACAAAACGCAACGGAAUUAUUUCUUAAAUCGUGAAGUCACGCCCGUGACGAGGACAAUAGAAACAGGUCAUCUUAACGAAGAUUAUGGAUCCAACAAUGUACAGGGAAAUAUUACUUUACAAGACAAUGGGAAAAUACCCCGAGAAGGCCAGGA